GGGGAUAUGGCUCAGUGGUAAAAAGCAUGUGCUUAGCGUGCGUGAGGUACUGGGGUCAAUCCCCAGUACCUCCA
RNAcentral lists this transfer RNA (74 nucleotides) under Camelus bactrianus (Bactrian camel). It matches the Rfam family "tRNA". Rfam says of the family: Transfer RNA (tRNA) molecules are approximately 80 nucleotides in length. Their secondary structure includes four short double-helical elements and three loops (D, anti-codon, and T loops). RNAcentral also lists the same sequence under 2 other names. The record is from Rfam by way of RNAcentral. Lineage: Eukaryota; Metazoa; Chordata; Mammalia; Artiodactyla; Camelidae.